CCUACGGGGGGCAGCAGUCGAGAAUCAUUCACAAUGGGGGAAACCCUGAUGGUGCGACGCCGCGUGGGGGAAUGAAGGUCUUCGGAUUGUAAACCCCUGUCAUGUGGGAGCAAAUUAAAAAGAUAGUACCACAAGAGGAAGAGACGGCUAACUCUGUGCCAGCAGCCGCGGUAAUACAGAGUUCUCAAGCGUUGUUCGGAAUCACUGGGCGUAAAGCGUGCGGAGGCUGUUUCGUAAGGCGUGUGUGAAAGGCGCGGGCUCAACCCGCGGACGGCACAUGAUACUGCGAGACUAGAGUAAGGGAGGGGGAACCGGAAUUCUCGGUGUAGCAGUGAAAUGCGUAGAUAUCGAGAGGAACACUCGUGGCGAAGGCGGGUUCCUGGACAUUAACUGACGCUGAGGCACGAAGGCCAGGGGAGCGAAAGGGAUUAGAUACCCGGGUAGUC
This 446-nucleotide ribosomal RNA is filed under the name uncultured bacterium. RNAcentral describes it as "partial 16S ribosomal RNA". It matches the Rfam family "Bacterial small subunit ribosomal RNA", at positions 338 to 795 of the family's 1533-position model. The record is from RNAcentral.